Molecule: ribosomal RNA, 696 nt
Filed under: Tarasginia whinrayi
Lineage: Eukaryota; Fungi; Ascomycota; Lecanoromycetes; Teloschistales; Teloschistaceae
Description: SSU rRNA
Rfam family: Bacterial small subunit ribosomal RNA
Source: RNAcentral
AGGCCGGAACCCAGCGACGACUUGGAGAUGAAUACGAAUAAGUCGUAUAAAAUUCUAAAUAAAAAGUGACAGUGACAAUUUUUAUUUAUAAGUCUUGGCCAAAUUACGUGCCAGCAGUCGCGGUAACACGCAGAAGACUAGUGUUAUUCAUCUUUAUUAGGUAUAAAGGGUACCUAGACGGAUUAUCAAGCCAAAUGAAGGGACUAAUUUUCUAGAGUUUUAUGGAAGAAUAUCGAAUUGCUGGAGGAAAGUCAACAUUUUUUGAUACCAGUGAGACGGACAACUGCGAAGGCGUUAUUCUAUGUAACAACUGACGUUGAGGGACGAAGCCUGGGGGAGCGAUAAGGAUUAGAUACCCUAGUAGUCCCAGGAGAAAAUAAUGAGUGUUAUAGACUAGAUUUGAAUUAGUUUAUAAAUGAAAGUGCAAGCACUCCACCUCAUGAGUAAAGCGGCAACGCCGGAAUUGAAAUCAUUAGACCGUGUCUGAAACCAGUAGUGAAGUAUGUUAUUUAAUUCGAUAACCCGCGAAUAACCUUACCACGUUUUGAAUAUUUUUACAAGCGCUGCACGGCUGUCUUCAGUUAAUGUCGUGAGAUUUUGGUUAGUUCCAUUAAUUAACGAAAGCCCUUAUUUUAUUUAUCAAUAAAAUAUUUCGCCGUUACAUUGGUUAGAAUAUAGGUCAGACAGCUCGCUCCU